AUUAAGAAAGUAAAGAUGAAUGAAAAUGUUUUAAAAGACUAUAUUUCAAAGUCGAAUACAUAGACGGGUAUUGGAACGUGGUUGUUUACUUCAACAGCAGCUGUGGUCGCCUAACAGCACCAGGCCCUAUUGUAGGGGUUUGGAGUUUUACGUAUGAGUACGGACAUGGAAGAUGAGGAUGAAUAUGUGGAAAUUGUAUUUCAUCAGUUAUGGAGAAUAAAGGAAGAAGCAACAA
Long non-coding RNA from Penaeus monodon (black tiger shrimp), 235 nucleotides. RefSeq lists it as uncharacterized. The record is from RefSeq and is a predicted model, not a curated record. NCBI's taxonomy places the organism in Eukaryota, Metazoa, Arthropoda, Malacostraca, Decapoda, Penaeidae. The transcript is spliced from 2 exons.